UCCGUAGGUGAACCUGCGGAAGGAUCAUUACCGAGUGCGGGCUGCCUCCGGGCGCCCAACCUCCCACCCGUGACUACCUAACACUGUUGCUUCGGCGGGGAGCCCCCUAGGGGCGAGCCGCCGGGGACCACUGAACUUCAUGCCUGAGAGUGAUGCAGUCUGAGCCUGAAUACAAAUCAGUCAAAACUUUCAACAAUGGAUCUCUUGGUUCCGGCAUCGAUGAAGAACGCAGCGAACUGCGUAAGUAAUGUGAAUUGCAGAAUUCAGUGAAUCAUCGAGUCUUUGAACGCACAUUGCGCCCCCUGGCAUUCCGGGGGGCAUGCCUGUCCGAGGUCAUUGCUGCCCUCAAGCCCGGCUUGUGUGUUGGGUCGUCGUCCCCCCCGGGGGACGGGCCCGAAAGGCAGCGGCGGCACCGUGUCCGGUCCUCGAGCGUAUGGGGCUUUGUCACCCGCUCGAUUAGGGCCGGCCGGGCGCCAGCCGGCGUCUCCAACCUUAUUUUUCUCAGGUGACCUCGAUCAGUAGGAUACCCGCUGAACUUAAGC
RNAcentral lists this ribosomal RNA (542 nucleotides) under Syncephalastrum racemosum. RNAcentral's name for it is "partial 18S ribosomal RNA". The stretch from base 185 to 336 matches the Rfam family "5.8S ribosomal RNA". The record is from RNAcentral. Lineage: Eukaryota; Fungi; Mucoromycota; Mucoromycetes; Mucorales; Syncephalastraceae.